This 238-nucleotide ribosomal RNA is filed under the name uncultured bacterium. RNAcentral's name for it is "partial 16S ribosomal RNA". It matches the Rfam family "Bacterial small subunit ribosomal RNA", at positions 96 to 334 of the family's 1533-position model. The record is from RNAcentral.
CGGCGGACGGGUGAGUAACGCGUGGGUAACCCGCCUCAUACAGGGGGAUAACAGUUAGAAAUGACUGCUAAUACCGCAUAAGACCACGGUACCGCAUGGUACAGUGGUAAAAACUCCGGUGGUAUGAGAUGGACCCGCGUCUGAUUAGGUAGUUGGUGGGGUAACGGCCUACCAAGCCGACGAUCAGUAGCCGACCUGAGAGGGUGACCGGCCACAUUGGGACUGAGACACGGCCCAG